UACGGAGGGUGCAAGCGUUGUCCGGAUUUAUUGGGUUUAAAGGGUGCGUAGGCGGCCCGUUAAGUCAGCGGUGAAAUCCCGGGGCUCAACCCCGGAACCGCCGUUGAUACUGGUGGGCUUGAGUAUGGACGAGGUUGGCGGAAUUGAGGGUGUAGCGGUGAAAUGCUUAGAUACCCUCAAGAACACCGAUUGCGUAGGCAGCUAACUAGGCCAUAACUGACGCUGAGGCACGAAAGCGUGGGGAGCGAACAGG
Molecule: ribosomal RNA, 253 nt
Filed under: uncultured bacterium
Lineage: Bacteria
Description: partial 16S ribosomal RNA
Rfam family: Bacterial small subunit ribosomal RNA
Source: RNAcentral